CCUACGGGGGGCAGCAGUGGGGAAUAUUGCACAAUGGGGGAAACCCUGAUGCAGCGACGCCGCGUGAGUGAAGAAGUAUCUCGGUAUGUAAAGCUCUAUCAGCAGGAAAGAUAAUGACGGUACCUGACUAAGAAGCCCCGGCUAACUACGUGCCAGCAGCCGCGGUAAUACGUAGGGGGCAAGCGUUAUCCGGAUUUACUGGGUGUAAAGGGAGCGUAGACGGAAGUGCAAGUCUGGAGUGAAAUGCAGGGGGU
RNAcentral lists this ribosomal RNA (254 nucleotides) under uncultured bacterium. RNAcentral's name for it is "partial 16S ribosomal RNA". It matches the Rfam family "Bacterial small subunit ribosomal RNA", at positions 338 to 609 of the family's 1533-position model. The record is from RNAcentral.